GUAGGUGAACCUGCGGAAGGAUCAUUAACACGUGAUACUCACGUAUUAACUCACCGAGAACUGUUAUUUUCCCCUGUUGUAGAACAUCGGUGAUUUGGGAGCGGAAUGGUGCGAGGUACCGAAAGGUAUGCUCUUCAUCCCUUAUCUAGGAUAGUUCGACUAUCAGCCCAUGCCUACAAACAGAAGAUGAAUUGCGGCUGCCUAUUAAGCCUGCGCCUUGGCUUGCAGUCCGUGGUGACCUUAUUAACCC
RNAcentral lists this unclassified non-coding RNA (250 nucleotides) under plant metagenome. RNAcentral describes it as "partial contains small subunit ribosomal RNA, internal transcribed spacer 1, and 5.8S ribosomal RNA". The record is from RNAcentral.